UACGGAGGAUCCGAGCGUUAUCCGGAUUUAUUGGGUUUAAAGGGUGCGCGGGCGGGAGAUUAAGUCGGCGGUGAAAUUUUGCAGCUCAACUGUAAAAGUGCCUUCGAAACUGGUUUCCUUGAGUGUAGAUGAAGUAGGCGGAAUUUGUGGUGUAGCGGUGAAAUGCAUAGAUAUCACGAGGAACUCCGAUUGCGCAGGCAGCUUACUAAACUACUACUGACGCUCAGGCACGAAGGCGUAGGGAUCAAACAGGAUUAGAUACCCGCGUAGUCCCU
RNAcentral lists this ribosomal RNA (275 nucleotides) under uncultured prokaryote. RNAcentral describes it as "partial 16S ribosomal RNA". It matches the Rfam family "Bacterial small subunit ribosomal RNA", at positions 524 to 798 of the family's 1533-position model. The record is from RNAcentral.